RNAcentral lists this ribosomal RNA (253 nucleotides) under uncultured bacterium. RNAcentral describes it as "partial 16S ribosomal RNA". It matches the Rfam family "Bacterial small subunit ribosomal RNA", at positions 524 to 776 of the family's 1533-position model. The record is from RNAcentral.
UACGAAGGGUGCAAGCGUUGUUCGGAUUUAUUGGGCGUAAAGCGCAUGUAGGCGGUCCGGCCAGUCAGGUGUGAAAUCUCGGAGCUCAACUCCGAAACAGCGCCUGAAACUACCAGACUAGAAUCCUAGAGAGGAAAGGGGAAUUUCUCAUGUAGGGGUAAAAUCCGUAGAGAUGAGAAGGAACAUCAGAAGCGAAGGCGCCUUUCUGGAUAGGUAUUGACGCUGAGAUGCGAAAGCGUGGGGAGCAAACAGG